GCGCGCGAGUCUCCGUCCGCUAGCGCUCCCGGAAGCCCGCGGUAGGAGCCGCGCCGGCGGUGCGGGCGCACGGCGCGCACCGGGGACUGUCUGCUCACUGCAGCCCGGGUGCUGCCUGGUGGGAAUCCCUCCCCAGCUGGGGAGAAAGGCAGUUGUUUUCCUCCCGGUGAAACGUUCCACUUGAAACCGUUCCACAAGGGCUGUUCUCGCCUCCGACUAGGGGAAGAACUGUAAUUAACACAGCAACAAACGCCCACGACGCUAACUGGCAAAGGGAGUGUAACACGAGCCGCUUCUCCAACCGAACUGGGCCAAUUGCUUUCCCUUCUUGCCUCCCCAUUUGGUCUGUUUUGGUUCCGCAGUCAUCCAACUGUGGCGUUUCUUAAAACAUGUCAGUGGCUGGUGUUUGUGUUUGGGGUUGAACAGUUUCACACACGUCGCUGGAGACGGUGCUCAACCAGCUGCUGUGCUGGGUCCUAGCUUUCUGCGCCUUCGGGAGCGUCAGGUAGAAGAACGAAGCGACUAGAAGAAGGGGGUGGAGAUGAAGAAGGACGCCUGCCUCCUCCGAUUGCCUGCAGUUGGGUCGGAAGCCUGUCUCCGGGCGAGGACAGAUGUAUUUCCAUACGACUUGGAAGGCAGAAGGAAAGCAGAGGCAUUUUUCCUGAAGCUUUGGUUGAUUCUAGAGAUACACAUACUGGUUUUAUUCUGCCGCCACAUUCCCAUAUCCAGCUGUUAAGGAACAUAUGUGGAGUCUUCAAGUUCGCGACCAGCCCCAGGAUCCCAAGAUUCACACAGUUUUCUACCUGAAACUUAAGGAACUCUACUUGCCUCACAGGAUUGCCAUGAGGAUUAAAUGAACAAUUGGAUGAAAACA
Molecule: long non-coding RNA, 874 nt
Organism: Ailuropoda melanoleuca (giant panda)
Lineage: Eukaryota; Metazoa; Chordata; Mammalia; Carnivora; Ursidae
Exons: 4
Source: RefSeq, a predicted model, not a curated record